GGGAAGAAAGUAGAGUGGCGCACGGGUGAGUAACACGUAAGUAAUCUACCUCUGAGUGGGGAAUACCGUCCGGAAACGGACGCUAAUACCGCAUAAUGCAGCGGCACCGCAAGGUGACAGUUGUUAAAGAUUUAUCGCUUAGAGAGGAGCUUGCGGCAGAUUAGCUAGUUGGUAAGGUAAUGGCUUACCAAGGCUACGAUCUGUAACCGGUCUUAGAGGACGGUCGGUCACACUGACACUGAAUAACGGGUCAGACUCCUACGGGAGGCAGCAGUCGGGAAUUUUGGGCAAUGGGCGAAAGCCUGACCCAGCAACGCCGCGUGAAGGAUGAAGUAUUUCGGUAUGUAAACUUCGAAAGAAUAGGAAGAAUAAAUGACGGUACUAUUUAUAAGGUCCGGCUAACUACGUGCCAGCAGCCGCGGUAAUACGUAGGGACCAAGCGUUGUUCGGAUUUACUGGGCGUAAAGGGCGCGUAGGCGGCUUUGUAAGUCACUUGUGAAAUCUCUGAGCUUAACUCAGAACGGCCAAGUGAUACUGCAAUGCUAGAGUGCAGAAGGGGCAAUCGGAAUUCUUGGUGUAGCGGUGAAAUGCGUAGAUAUCAAGAGGAACACCUGGGGUGAAGACGGGUUGCUGGGCUGACACUGACGCUGAGGCGCGAAAGCCAGGGGAGCAAACGGGAUUAGAUACCCCGGUAGUCCUGGCCCUAACGAUGAAUACUUGGUGU
RNAcentral lists this ribosomal RNA (724 nucleotides) under uncultured bacterium. RNAcentral describes it as "bacterial SSU rRNA". It matches the Rfam family "Bacterial small subunit ribosomal RNA", at positions 81 to 823 of the family's 1533-position model. The record is from RNAcentral.